CCAUCAAAGUGUGUGUACAGUUGUUAGUGAAGUUCUGUAUUUUUACACACUAUUGUUCAUUUCUAGACUUCCAAAAGAAGAAACAUUUCUGUUACCUGAGAAAAACAGAGAAGCUAAUGCAUGCAGAGAUGCAGCAAAAUGGAUUUCAUGAAAGAAGAAGUUAUGAACAAUGACUGCAAUCAACAGAUAAGGCUGUCAUUUUGUGACUAAAAGUUUCCAGUCCCUUAUCAAGUGACACUUCUCUUCUUCAAUUACCAAUGCUCAGUCAACCUUGCCUCAGAGAUUUGUUUGCUAUGUUACUUGGAACCCCGACACUCUCAUUUGAGAAGUGAUGAGGAAUUAGAUAUAGAUCAA
Non-coding RNA from Pseudonaja textilis, 354 nucleotides. NCBI's taxonomy places the organism in Eukaryota, Metazoa, Chordata, Lepidosauria, Squamata, Elapidae. The record is from RefSeq and is a predicted model, not a curated record.